GACGAACGCUGGCGGCGUGCUUAACACAUGCAAGUCGAACGAAAAGGCCCUGCGUUUGUGGGGUGCUCGAGUGGGGAAGGGGUGAGUAACACGUGAGGAACCUCUCCUUGACUGUGGGAUAACUUCAGGAAACUGGGGCUAAUACCGGAGAGGAGCUCCCGCUGCAUGGGGGUGGUUGGAAAGUUUCGGCGGUUGGAGAUGGACUCGCGGCUUAUGCGCUGGUUGGUGGGGUAGUGGCUGACCAGGGCUUUGACGGGUAGGCGGCCUGGGAGGUUGAACGGCGACAUUGGGACUGAGAUAGGGAGCAGACUCCUAUGGGAGGCAGCAGUCGGGAAUCUUGCACAAUGGGCGGACGUCAGAUACGGCAACGUCGCGUGCGUGAUGACGGCCUUCGGGUUGUAAACCGCUGUCGACUGUGCCGAAGCGUGCGUGACGGUAAUGGGUAAAGAAGCACCGGCUAACUACGUG
RNAcentral lists this ribosomal RNA (468 nucleotides) under uncultured bacterium. RNAcentral describes it as "partial 16S ribosomal RNA". It matches the Rfam family "Bacterial small subunit ribosomal RNA", at positions 28 to 507 of the family's 1533-position model. The record is from RNAcentral.